ACCGCACAGUAUACGCUUAUCAUGUGUCAGUGUGUCGCGAUACGAUUUUGUACAUGAUUGAAUAUUAUUAAAAACCAUUUAUCUUUUCUAGACUUAACUUAAUUAUAUUAUGUUUGGUACGGUACGCGCAAGAAAUCACAUUGAUGCAUUCGAGAAAACGGAAUAAUAUUAUAAUAGGUUACCACGAGCGUCGAAUCACGUGAGUCCCGAAGCUAUUACAAAACGUCGGCGGCACAUCACUCGGUGACAAAGUAAUAGGGCUUUAAUGGUAUAAACAUAAAUUAAAUACACAUCCAUUUAUAUUCAGUAUACAAAUUAAUUAUGAUGGACUCUGGAGUACAUAUACAUAUUGUAAAUCUUGUUGAUCAUGAAUUAGCGAUUCCGCCACAAGCUUAUCUUUUCAAAUCAAAAAAUCUUAACGAAUUUAAAACCAAGAAAUCAAGAUAUACCUUUAGGAAAAAAACUAUAAAUACACACACAAAAUGCAAUUUGACGCCAUUGCAAAAUAACAUUUUCGAAAAACGUGGACCAUAACAUUCAUAACUAAGAAAAAUGUCGCAAAAAUUCUCUCGUAAAAACUAUGUCGAUAACGAAAACUUAAGUCAAAUAAUGAGUCAAAAUGAAGCGACAUUUACGAGCAAAAAAAUUGUAAAUAAUCCAGACAGCAGCAGUGUUUAUCAAAUCAUACUGCAAAAAGUAUACCAAACACAUUAAGUUGGUAAAUAAUUACUUACUUGAUAAGAGCAAUCUUACAUUCAAAUUUAAUUCAUUUAGAAGUAUAAUAAAUAAAUUAAUAAAAGAAUUAUAAAUAUUACAA
This is a long non-coding RNA of Aphis gossypii (cotton aphid), 817 nucleotides long. RefSeq lists it as uncharacterized. The transcript is spliced from 3 exons. The record is from RefSeq and is a predicted model, not a curated record. Lineage: Eukaryota; Metazoa; Arthropoda; Insecta; Hemiptera; Aphididae.